Molecule: ribosomal RNA, 495 nt
Filed under: uncultured bacterium
Lineage: Bacteria
Description: bacterial SSU rRNA
Rfam family: Bacterial small subunit ribosomal RNA
Source: RNAcentral
GACGAACGCUGGCGGAAUGGAUUAGGCAUGCAAGUCGUACGAGAUUUAUACCUUCGGGUAUAUUGAGAGUGGCAAACGGGUGAGUAACGCGUGGGUAUCUGCCUUUAAGCGGGGGAUAACUCAGGGAAACUUGAGCUAAUACCGCAUGUGGCAUUAAUGUUAAAGGUGGCCUCUAUUUAUAAGCUACCGCUUAGAGAUGAGCCUGCGUACUAUUAGUUAGUUGGUGAGGUAACGGCUCACCUAGGCAAUGAUAGGUAGGCGGCCUUAACGGGUGGUCGCCCACACUGGGAUUGAGAUACGGCCCAGACUCCUACGGGAGGCAGCAGUCGAGAAUAGUCUACAAUGGUCGGAAGACUGAUAGUGCGACGCCGCGUGAACGAUGAAUCCCUUCGGGGUGUAAAGUUUCUUUUAAUAUUGUGAGCAGUGCUUCUUAUAUUAACGUAUGGGGAGAGAGAUAUUAGCAUAUGAAUAAGCAACGGCUAACUCCGUGCCAGC